GAAGGUGGCGGAAUUGGUAGACGCGCUAGCUUCAGGUGUUAGUGUCUUAACGGACGUGAGGGUUCAAGUCCCUCU
Molecule: transfer RNA, 75 nt
Filed under: Pantoea agglomerans
Lineage: Bacteria; Pseudomonadati; Pseudomonadota; Gammaproteobacteria; Enterobacterales; Erwiniaceae
Description: tRNA-Leu
Source: RNAcentral